AACGAACGCUGGCGGCAGGCCUAACACAUGCAAGUCGAGCGAGGACUUCGGCUCUAGCGGCGGACGGGUGAGUAACGCGUGGGAAUGUGCCCUUCUCUACGGAAUAGCCCUGGGAAACUGGGAGUAAUACCGUAUACGCCCUAUUGGGGAAAGAUUUAUCGGAGAAGGAUCAGCCCGCGUUGGAUUAGGUAGUUGGUGGGGUAAUGGCCUACCAAGCCGACGAUCCAUAGCUGGUUUGAGAGGAUGAUCAGCCACACUGGGACUGAGACACGGCCCAGACUCCUACGGGAGGCAGCAGUGGGGAAUCUUAGACAAUGGGGGCAACCCUGAUCUAGCCACGCCGCGUGAGUGAUGAAGGCCUUAGGGUUGUAAAGCUCUUUCAGCUGGGAAGAUAAUGACGGUACCAGCAGAAGAAGCCCCGGCUAACUCCGUG
RNAcentral lists this ribosomal RNA (433 nucleotides) under uncultured bacterium. Its description in RNAcentral is "partial 16S ribosomal RNA". It matches the Rfam family "Bacterial small subunit ribosomal RNA", at positions 29 to 507 of the family's 1533-position model. The record is from RNAcentral.